This 424-nucleotide ribosomal RNA is filed under the name Verrucomicrobiota bacterium. RNAcentral describes it as "Verrucomicrobia bacterium partial 16S ribosomal RNA". It matches the Rfam family "Bacterial small subunit ribosomal RNA", at positions 355 to 776 of the family's 1533-position model. The record is from RNAcentral. Lineage: Bacteria; Pseudomonadati; Verrucomicrobiota.
UGAGGAAUAUUGGUCAAUGGACGCAAGUCUGAACCAGCCUAGUUGCUUGCAGGAUGACGGCCCUAUGGUUUGUAAACUUCUUUUAUAUGGUGAUAAAGUGGGGAACGUGUUCCCUUUUGCAGGUACCAUAUGAAUAAGUACCGGCUAAUUCCGUGCCUGCAGCCUCUGUAAUACGGAAGGUUCGGGCGUUAUCCGGAUUUAUUGGGUUUAAAGGGAGCGUAGGCCGUUUGGUAAGCGUGUUGUGAAAUGUAGGAGCUCAACUUCUAGAUUGCAGCGCGAACUGUAAGAAUUGAGUGCGCACAACGUAGGCGGAAUUCAUGGUGUAGCGGUGAAAAGCUUAGAAAUCAUGAAGAACUCCGAUUGCGAAGGCAGCAUACGGGAGCGAAAAAGACGAUGAAGCUCGAAGGUGCGGGUAUCGAACAGG